RNAcentral lists this ribosomal RNA (253 nucleotides) under uncultured bacterium. Its description in RNAcentral is "partial 16S ribosomal RNA". It matches the Rfam family "Bacterial small subunit ribosomal RNA", at positions 524 to 776 of the family's 1533-position model. The record is from RNAcentral.
UACGAAGGGUGCAAACGUUGCUCGGAAUUAUUGGGCGUAAAGCGCGCGUAGGCGGCUUGGCAAGUCGGAUGUGAAAUCCCUCGGCUCAACCAAGGAAGUGCAUCCGAAACUGCUGAGCUUGAGUACUUAAGAGGAUCGCGGAAUUCCCAGUGUAGAGGUGAAAUUCGUAGAUAUUGGGAGGAACACCGGUGGCGAAGGCGGCGACCUGGGUUGACACUGACGCUGAGGCGCGAAAGCUAGGGUAGCAAACGGG